This 473-nucleotide ribosomal RNA is filed under the name Alloprevotella sp. oral taxon 473. RNAcentral describes it as "bacterial SSU rRNA". It matches the Rfam family "Bacterial small subunit ribosomal RNA", at positions 28 to 491 of the family's 1533-position model. The record is from RNAcentral. Lineage: Bacteria; Pseudomonadati; Bacteroidota; Bacteroidia; Bacteroidales; Prevotellaceae.
GAUGAACGCUAGUUACAGGCUUAACACAUGCAAGUCGAGGGGCAGCAUGGAAGAAGCUUGCUUCUUCUGAUGGCGACCGGCGCACGGGUGCGUAACGCGUAUCAAACCUGCCUCAUACUCGGGGAUAGCCUUGCGAAAGUAAGAUUAAUACCCGAUGUUGUUAUGUUACCGCAUGGUGAUAUAACCAAAGAUUUAUCGGUAUGAGAUGGUGAUGCGUCCGAUUAGGUAGUAGGCGGGGUAACGGCCCACCUAGCCUUCGAUCGGUAGGGGUUCUGAGAGGAAGGUCCCCCACACUGGAACUGAGACACGGUCCAGACUCCUACGGGAGGCAGCAGUGAGGAAUAUUGGUCAAUGGACGAAAGUCUGAACCAGCCAAGUAGCGUGCAGGAUGACGGCCCUCUGGGUUGUAAACUGCUUUUAGUUGGGAAUAAAAAAGAGGACGUGUCCUCUAUUGUAUGACCUUCAGAAAAAGG